AACCAUAGAAACCUGCGGAGUACCUGCGGAAGGAUCAUUAAAAAGAGUGUGUACCCCUCUGUAAAAUGAGUGGGUUACCUCCCGUCCUUUGUUGACCUCUUAGGAGGUUAUUUUGAACUUUCUGCUUCGGUGGGGUUAAACCUACCGGAACACCCUCAAAUUCUUAUCAUUUAAAAAUUGUUCAGUCUGAUUUUUGUUAAUAAAAACAAAAAACUUUCAACAAUGGAUCUCAGAUCGGAA
RNAcentral lists this unclassified non-coding RNA (240 nucleotides) under soil metagenome. RNAcentral's name for it is "partial contains 5.8S ribosomal RNA, internal transcribed spacer 2, and large subunit ribosomal RNA". The record is from RNAcentral.